This 129-nucleotide ribosomal RNA is filed under the name uncultured bacterium. Its description in RNAcentral is "partial 16S ribosomal RNA". It matches the Rfam family "Bacterial small subunit ribosomal RNA", at positions 226 to 353 of the family's 1533-position model. The record is from RNAcentral.
UGUGCCCAGAUGGGAUUAGCUAGUAGGUGGGGUAACGGCUCACCUAGGNGACGAUCCCUAGCUGGUCUGAGAGGAUGACCAGCCACACUGGAACUGAGACACGGUCCAGACUCCUACGGGAGCAGCAUG